RNAcentral lists this ribosomal RNA (253 nucleotides) under uncultured bacterium. RNAcentral describes it as "partial 16S ribosomal RNA". It matches the Rfam family "Bacterial small subunit ribosomal RNA", at positions 524 to 776 of the family's 1533-position model. The record is from RNAcentral.
GACGUAGGGCGCGAGCGUUGUCCGGAUUUAUUGGGCGUAAAGAGCUCGUAGGCGGCUUGUUGCGUCAGCUGUGAAAACCCGCAGCUCAACUGUGGGCUUGCAGCUGAUACGGGCAGGCUAGAGUUCGGUAGGGGAGAUCGGAAUUCCUGGUGUAGCGGUGAAAUGCGCAGAUAUCAGGAGGAACACCGGUGGCGAAGGCGGAUCUCUGGGCCGAUACUGACGCUGAGGAGCGAAAGCGUGGGGAGCGAACAGG